RNAcentral lists this ribosomal RNA (497 nucleotides) under uncultured bacterium. RNAcentral describes it as "partial 16S ribosomal RNA". It matches the Rfam family "Bacterial small subunit ribosomal RNA", at positions 28 to 507 of the family's 1533-position model. The record is from RNAcentral.
GACGAACGCUGGCGGAGGGAAGAAUAAAGGAAAGUUGAGCGAUGAAGAUUGGUGCUUGACUUAAUUUGAAGAGCAGAGAAAGGGUGAGUAAUGCGUGGGGAAUAUGUCUUUGAGCGGGGGACAACAUUUGGAAACGAAUGCUAAUACCGCAUAACAACUUUAAACAUAAGUUUUAAGUUUGAAAGAUGCAAUUGCAUCACUCAAAGAUGAUCCCGCGUUGUAUUAGCUAGUUGGUGAGGUAAAGGCUCACCAAGGCGAUGAUACAUAGCCGACCUGAGAGGGUGAUCGGCCACAUUGGGACUGAGACACGGCCCAAACUCCUACGGGAGGCAGCAGUAGGGAAUCUUAGGCAAUGGACGAAAGUCUGACCGAGCAACGCCGCGGGAGUGAAGAAGGUUUUCGGAUCGUAAAACUCUGUUGGUAGAGAAGAACGUUGGUGAGAGUGGAAAGCUCAUCAAGUGACGGUAACUACCCAGAAAGGGACGGCUAACUACGUA